CGGGUGAGUAACACGUAUGCAACCUGCCUGCCACAGCCGGAUAAUCGGGAGAAAUUCCGUCUAAUACGGCAUAAUGCAUCGACGGGACAUCCUGUUGGUGCCAAAGGUUGAAUUCCGGUGGCGGAUGGGCAUGCGUCGCAUUAGUUAGUUGGCGGUGUAACGGACCACCAAGACGACGAUGCGUAGGGGUUCUGAGAGGAAGGUCCCCCACACUGGUACUGAGACACGGACCAGACUCCUACGGAAGGCAGCAG
RNAcentral lists this ribosomal RNA (254 nucleotides) under uncultured bacterium. Its description in RNAcentral is "partial 16S ribosomal RNA". It matches the Rfam family "Bacterial small subunit ribosomal RNA", at positions 103 to 354 of the family's 1533-position model. The record is from RNAcentral.